Non-coding RNA from Paramuricea clavata, 1066 nucleotides. The record is from the annotation of a GenBank genome assembly. Lineage: Eukaryota; Metazoa; Cnidaria; Anthozoa; Malacalcyonacea; Plexauridae.
AGAAGGCACAAAGAGAACUCUAAAUAUCGCACUUGCGCAUUUUUCGAAUUCGUAUUCCACUAUUCCUUUACAUACCGCGAUAUGCGCUGUAGACCUUAAUCUUUUGCGAGUUUUAAUUAGACGCGUAGUCUUGUUAUCUGUCUGAAAAAUUCACAAAUUCCUUCUAUAAUUUAGAAGUCAAGAAAGGUUAAUGACACCUCCUUAUAAAGGCACGAACGACAAUUGGAUGAUUCAAACUUUCCGCGCAUCCCAGAAUGUAACUCGUCUCUGGGUAGGCCACACAGGAUUUCUUUUUCAGGGAUAAAGUAAUCCAGCUUCAAUAGGCAGUUCGUAUUGUAAUAAGGGCUUGUAGAUGGAAUUUGAGUGUAAAUUUUAUACAUUUAUUAUUUUAUUACACCUAAUCUCGGACCUUAACCAUGCAGGCGAAGUUGCGAAAAAUGUAACUAUCAGCCCUCUGGCAGGAGUCGAGCCUGCGGUCCUGGGAUUCUGGUGCAGCGCUCCAACCAACGGAGCUACAGAGGCCAGUUAUCGAGCUCUAACCGCAUGUUCAUGUUUUUACACUAAGGCCUGAUGCCAAUGAAAGGUGUGUGCGUGAAUAUCAGAAUUUUAUCUGUAUCUUUUCAGGAAUUGGAGAAGUGCUUAACCGCGAAUUGAGCCCUCAUCGUCAACUCAGUAAAGCUGCAUGCAUGUACGUCGAUUCCUGGUGAUGACUGAAGCACAGCCAAGAUAUCAAAAUGUUAGCAAAGUUAAAAUAUCAAAAUGUUCAUAUUCGGAGUUACCAAUAUUGUUUUAUAUACUCAUUUCCAAUAGUUUUUUCUGUAGUCUAUACAACUAGUAAUCAGUCUAGAUUUAAUUCUCGUGAUUUGAAUCAUGAAGAAGUAGAAGAGCGCCGAACGACACUGAUACAAGCAAAGAGCAAUUCAGUGACUGGCCUGUCAGUUUCGGCUCUAGAGCACCUAUUAGUCCGUGAGGAAAUGAAAAUUACUUAAUUGAUAAGAGAAAUGUGUGUUAUUAUGCCGGUGCGUUAUGGUGUGUGUUCAGUCUAUGCCGAUGGCUGUCUUAUUAG